Cydia fagiglandana is the source of this 158-nucleotide long non-coding RNA. RefSeq lists it as uncharacterized. Lineage: Eukaryota; Metazoa; Arthropoda; Insecta; Lepidoptera; Tortricidae. The transcript has 3 exons. The record is from RefSeq and is a predicted model, not a curated record.
AAGGCCUACAGAUUUGACGACAACACAUCCAAAAUCCAAAUUUUAUCUCGUACCUGUUAGUUUAGACUCGGUGAGGGACAGCGAAGCAAAGAAAUUGAUCAUUGACAUACUAAAUAAGAUAAAUCCUAAACGAAACUACCGGCUCAGGUAAAAAAAUG